Molecule: long non-coding RNA, 486 nt
Organism: Dreissena polymorpha
Lineage: Eukaryota; Metazoa; Mollusca; Bivalvia; Myida; Dreissenidae
Exons: 3
Source: RefSeq, a predicted model, not a curated record
GGAUUGAAUACUUCAGGUAUAUAAACGUCUGCAUUUGAGCUGCAUUACUGAAUGCUUAGAAUCCUCCGAGCAACGUCAACGUAACGAUCACUCAAGAUGAACACCAAACAGUUGAUGUGUUUGUUAGUCGCGGCCGUAGUGCUUCUAGCGAUUGCUCCGGUAGCAAACGCCCAAUACUAUGAUUACGGAUAUGGCGGUAACAACUAUGGCUACCCCGGAAACUAUGGCUACGGGGGAAACUAUGGCGGGUAUCCAGGAAAUUAUGGCAACUAUGGCAACUAUGGCGACUAUGACAACUAUGGUGGCGGAUGGUUAUACAAAAUCCUCGGAGGGGGUGGCAAAGGCAAAUACGGCUAUGGCAAAUAAUAAAUGUCGUAAAGGAAAACGCAUCUUACAACACCACACUUAGAUACAUGUAAAGCAACCGUUUCCUUGUAAUUUACGUUCCAAUAAAGUUUUAGACAGCAAUACAUAAACUAAAUCGCA